UGGGUUUAGACCCACGGCAAACGGGUGAGUAAUACCUAGGAACGUAUCUUGAGUUGAGCAUAAUCCACCGAAAGGUGGGAUAAUUCUCAAUGUGGCAGCAAUGCUAAAGUCGCAAGACGCUCAUGAAGCGGCCUGGGCACCAUCAGCUAGUUGGUAAGGUAAAAGCUUACCAAGGCUAUGACGGUUAGGGGCCCCGAGAGGGGAAACCCCCACACUGGAACUGCGACACGGUCCAG
This 236-nucleotide ribosomal RNA is filed under the name uncultured bacterium. Its description in RNAcentral is "partial 16S ribosomal RNA". It matches the Rfam family "Bacterial small subunit ribosomal RNA", at positions 82 to 334 of the family's 1533-position model. The record is from RNAcentral.